GAAAUUUUAAGUUAAAAAAACUAUUAAUUUUCAAAAUUAAAAUUAUCAACAAAAUUUUAAAUUUCA
Molecule: transfer RNA, 66 nt
Filed under: Rhipiphorothrips cruentatus
Lineage: Eukaryota; Metazoa; Arthropoda; Insecta; Thysanoptera; Thripidae
Description: tRNA-Trp
Source: RNAcentral